Molecule: ribosomal RNA, 693 nt
Filed under: uncultured bacterium
Lineage: Bacteria
Description: bacterial SSU rRNA
Rfam family: Bacterial small subunit ribosomal RNA
Source: RNAcentral
UAACGCGUGGGUAACCUGCCCUGUACACACGGAUAACAUACCGAAAGGUAUGCUAAUACGAGAUAAUAUGCUUUUAUCGCAUGGUAGAAGUAUCAAAGUUCCGGCGGUACAGGAUGGACCCGCGUCUGAUUAGCUAGUUGGUAAGGUAACGGCUUACCAAGGCGACGAUCAGUAGCCGACCUGAGAGGGUGAUCGGCCACAUUGGAACUGAGACACGGUCCAAACUCCUACGGGAGGCAGCAGUGGGGAAUAUUGCACAAUGGGCGGAAGCCUGAUGCAGCAACGCCGCGUGAGCGAUGAAGGCCUUCGGGUCGUAAAGCUCUGUCCUCAAGGAAGAUAAUGACGGUACUUGAGGAGGAAGCCCCGGCUAACUACGUGCCAGCAGCCGCGGUAAUACGUAGGGGGCUAGCGUUAUCCGGAAUUACUGGGCGUAAAGGGUGCGUAGGUGGUUUCUUAAGUCAGAGGUGAAAGGCUACGGCUCAACCGUAGUAAGCCUUUGAAACUGGGAAACUUGAGUGCAGGAGAGGAGAGUGGAAUUCCUAGUGUAGCGGUGAAAUGCGUAGAUAUUAGGAGGAACACCAGUUGCGAAGGCGGCUCUCUGGACUGUAACUGACACUGAGGCACGAAAGCGUGGGGAGCAAACAGGAUUAGAUACCCUGGUAGUCCACGCCGUAAACGAUGAGUACUAGCUGU